RNAcentral lists this long non-coding RNA (373 nucleotides) under Cricetulus griseus (Chinese hamster). RNAcentral describes it as "lncRNA (ENSCGRG00015034757.1)". The record is from RNAcentral. Lineage: Eukaryota; Metazoa; Chordata; Mammalia; Rodentia; Cricetidae.
CAGUAAUGAGGCUAAGCCAUCAUGGACUCAAACUGCUGAAACCAUGGUAAUCAAACAACUUCAAUCCCUUAAAGUUGUUUCUCUCAGGGUCUUCCAGACCGAGAGGCACUCUCCACAUCUGGUUCCUUCGGUGUGAGGCCUGAAGCAUCAUCUCGUUCAAUUCUACCAGGUAAAAAUCAAGCACAAGAACAGAGGAAUUCAGAAGGAAAAGAUUUGUGACCAACUGGAAAAGUUCGAACAUGCACAUCUGAGCCCUGGCUUAGCGAUGGCCCCAGGACAUCAUUUCACUAAAAUCUUGUGUAUUGGACUGACUGGCCUGGAGAGAUGGCUCAGCGAUUAAGAGCACUGCCCACUCUUCCAGGGGUCCUGAGGU